This 432-nucleotide ribosomal RNA is filed under the name uncultured bacterium. Its description in RNAcentral is "partial 16S ribosomal RNA". It matches the Rfam family "Bacterial small subunit ribosomal RNA", at positions 29 to 507 of the family's 1533-position model. The record is from RNAcentral.
ACGAACGCUGGCGGCAGGCCUAACACAUGCAAGUCGCGCGAGGACUUCGGUUCUAGCGGCGGACGGGUGAGUAACGCGUGGGAAUGUGCCCUUCUCUACGGAAUAGCCCUGGGAAACUGGGAGUAAUACCGUAUACGCCCUAUUGGGGAAAGAUUUAUCGGAGAAGGAUCAGCCCGCGUUGGAUUAGGUAGUUGGUGGGGUAAUGGCCUACCAAGCCGACGAUCCAUAGCUGGUUUGAGAGGAUGAUCAGCCACACUGGGACUGAGACACGGCCCAGACUCCUACGGGAGGCAGCAGUGGGGAAUCUUAGACAAUGGGGGCAACCCUGAUCUAGCCAUGCCGCGUGAGUGAUGAAGGCCUUAGGGUUGUAAAGCUCUUUCAGCUGGGAAGAUAAUGACGGUACCAGCAGAAGAAGCCCCGGCUAACUCCGUG